CGGGACGGGUGAGUAAUGUCUGGGAAACUGCCUGAUGGAGGGGGAUAACUACUGGAACGGUAGCUAAUACCGCAUAAUGUCUACGGACCAAAGCGGGGGACCUCCGGGCCUCGCGCCAUCAGAUGAACCCAUAUGGGAUUAGCUAGUAGGUGGGGUAACGGCUCACCUAGGCGACGAUCCCUAGCUGGUCUGAGAGGAUGACCAGCCACACUGGAACUGAGACACGGUCCAG
RNAcentral lists this ribosomal RNA (232 nucleotides) under uncultured bacterium. RNAcentral describes it as "partial 16S ribosomal RNA". It matches the Rfam family "Bacterial small subunit ribosomal RNA", at positions 100 to 334 of the family's 1533-position model. The record is from RNAcentral.